AGACCCAUCUUCUAACGGUUAGGAUACUAGGUUUUCACCCUGGUGACGGGAGUUCAAUUCUCCCUGGGUCUA
Molecule: transfer RNA, 72 nt
Filed under: Marinobacter sp.
Lineage: Bacteria; Pseudomonadati; Pseudomonadota; Gammaproteobacteria; Pseudomonadales; Marinobacteraceae
Also listed under: 1 other name
Description: tRNA-Glu
Rfam family: tRNA
About the family: Transfer RNA (tRNA) molecules are approximately 80 nucleotides in length. Their secondary structure includes four short double-helical elements and three loops (D, anti-codon, and T loops). Further hydrogen bonds mediate the characteristic L-shaped molecular structure. tRNAs have two regions of fundamental functional importance: the anti-codon, which is responsible for specific mRNA codon recognition, and the 3' end, to which the tRNAs corresponding amino acid is attached (by aminoacyl-tRNA synthetases). tRNAs cope with the degeneracy of the genetic code in two manners: having more than one tRNA (with a specific anti-codon) for a particular amino acid; and 'wobble' base-pairing, i.e. permitting non-standard base-pairing at the 3rd anti-codon position.
Source: RNAcentral